GACGAACGCUGGCGGCGUGCCUAAUACAUGCAAGUCGAACGCUUCUUUCCUCCCGAGUGCUUGCACUCAAUUGGAAAGAGGAGUGGCGGACGGGUGAGUAACACGUGGGUAACCUACCCAUCAGAGGGGGAUAACACUUGGAAACAGGUGCUAAUACCGCAUAACAGUUUAUGCCGCAUGGCAUAAGAGUGGAAGGCGCUUUCGGGUGUCGCUGAUGGAUGGACCCGCGGUGCAUUAGCUAGUUGGUGAGGUAACGGCUCACCAAGGCCACGAUGCAUAGCCGACCUGAGAGGGUGAUCGGCCACACUGGGACUGAGACACGGCCCAGACUCCUACGGGAGGCAGCAGUAGGGAAUCUUCGGCAAUGGACGAAAGUCUGACCGAGCAAACGCCGCGUGAGUGAAGAAGGUUUUUCGGAUUCGUAAAACUUCU
Molecule: ribosomal RNA, 432 nt
Filed under: Enterococcus faecalis
Lineage: Bacteria; Bacillati; Bacillota; Bacilli; Lactobacillales; Enterococcaceae
Description: bacterial SSU rRNA
Rfam family: Bacterial small subunit ribosomal RNA
Source: RNAcentral